GAUGAACGCUGGCGGCAUGCCUUACACAUGCAAGUCGAACGGCAGCGGACCUUCGGGUGCCGGCGAGUGGCGAACGGGUGAGUAAUAUAUCGGAACGUACCUUUCAGUGGGGGAUAACGUAGCGAAAGUUACGCUAAUACCGCAUAUUCUGUGAGCAGGAAAGCAGGGGAUCGCAAGACCUUGCGCUGAUUGAGCGGCCGAUAUCAGAUUAGCUAGUUGGUGAGGUAAAGGCUCACCAAGGCGACGAUCUGUAGCGGGUCUGAGGGGAUGAUCCGCCACACUGGAACUGAGACACGGUCCAGACUCCUACGGGAGGCAGCAGUGGGGAAUUUUGGACAAUGGGCGCAAGCCUGAUCCAGCCAUGCCGCGUGAGUGAAGAAGGCCUCGG
This 388-nucleotide ribosomal RNA is filed under the name uncultured bacterium. RNAcentral's name for it is "bacterial SSU rRNA". It matches the Rfam family "Bacterial small subunit ribosomal RNA", at positions 28 to 420 of the family's 1533-position model. The record is from RNAcentral.